RNAcentral lists this unclassified non-coding RNA (336 nucleotides) under soil metagenome. RNAcentral describes it as "partial contains 5.8S ribosomal RNA, internal transcribed spacer 2, and large subunit ribosomal RNA". The stretch from base 1 to 120 matches the Rfam family "5.8S ribosomal RNA", at positions 35 to 154 of the family's 154-position model. The record is from RNAcentral.
GAUGAAGAACGCAGCGAAAUGCGAUAAGUAAUGUGAAUUGCAGAAUUCAGUGAAUCAUCGAAUCUUUGAACGCACAUUGUGCCCGCCAGUAUUCUGGCGGGCAUGCCUGUUCGAGCGUCAUUUCAACCAUCAAGCCCCCGGCUUGUGUUGGGGACCUGCGGCUGCCGCAGGCCCUGAAAACCAGUGGCGGGCUCGCUGUCACACCGAGCGUAGUAGAUUUUCAUCUCGCUCAGGGCGUGCUGCGGGUUCCGGCCGUAAAAAGCCUUAUUUACCCAAGGUUGACCUCGGAUCAGGUAGGAAGACCCGCUGAACUUAAGCAUAUCAAUAAGCGGAGGA